Molecule: non-coding RNA, 71 nt
Organism: Daldinia loculata
Lineage: Eukaryota; Fungi; Ascomycota; Sordariomycetes; Xylariales; Hypoxylaceae
Source: the annotation of a RefSeq genome assembly
GCUUCAUAGCAUAGAGGAAGUGCACCGGGCUCAUAACCCGGAGGCCCUCCGAUCGAAACAGAAUUAUAUCA